Molecule: long non-coding RNA, 409 nt
Organism: Camelus dromedarius (Arabian camel)
Lineage: Eukaryota; Metazoa; Chordata; Mammalia; Artiodactyla; Camelidae
Exons: 3
Source: RefSeq, a predicted model, not a curated record
GUGACCCCUAGGACACUCCUUUUACCUUUGGUCAUUGACAGCAAUUCUGUGAUGAGAUUAACCAAGGAAAGCAUGGUAAACAAAUAAAAUAAGGGUCUUUAUUUGGAUGAAAGUAUUCAAGAGAACAAUUUAUACGUUUCUUAAGAAUUUCAGAUUUUGCAACACGAGAGUCUGAAAGACAGGCCAACACAGGCGGCUCUUUGGAAACAAGAGACCUGGUACUUUCAACAGCCAAAAAGCUGGCUAAACACCAGAAGGAGGGGAGAGACACAUCAGUUGGAUACAUGGUGAUGUCAUUCAAAAAGCAAAGAAAUAUGGAAGACCAGAUUGAGGGCAGAAAAACAGGUAAAUAUGGGUGUCAAAUAUUGCUCUAUUCUUUUCUUGUAUUUGAUUUUUUUCAAUUUUCUUG